RNAcentral lists this small nucleolar RNA (138 nucleotides) under Ornithorhynchus anatinus (platypus). The record is from RNAcentral. Lineage: Eukaryota; Metazoa; Chordata; Mammalia; Monotremata; Ornithorhynchidae.
CCCCUCUCAGGGUGGCAUCUGGAGAGUUUCCAGUCCUCUACCAGUCUCGACUAUGGGAGGGAGAGUCAAGCAGAGGCAUAUUCAUUCUAUUCCUAGCUUGGGUAGUGGCUAGCGAGUGGAAGGAAACCUGCUACAAGU